This 301-nucleotide ribosomal RNA is filed under the name uncultured bacterium. RNAcentral describes it as "partial 16S ribosomal RNA". It matches the Rfam family "Bacterial small subunit ribosomal RNA", at positions 509 to 809 of the family's 1533-position model. The record is from RNAcentral.
CAGUAGCCGCGGGAAUACAGAGGGUGCAAGCGUUAAUCGGAAUUACUGGGCGUAAAGCGCGCGUAGGUGGUUUGUUAAGUUGAAUGUGAAAUCCCCGGGCUCAACCUGGGAACUGCAUCCAAAACUGGCAAGCUAGAGUAGGGCAGAGGGUGGUGGAAUUUCCUGUGUAGCGGUGAAAUGCGUAGAUAUAGGAAGGAACACCAGUGGCGAAGGCGACCACCUGGGCUCAUACUGACACUGAGGUGCGAAAGCGUGGGGAGCAAACAGGAUUAGAUACCCCAGUAGUCCCUGUCUCUUAUAA